This 435-nucleotide ribosomal RNA is filed under the name uncultured bacterium. RNAcentral's name for it is "bacterial SSU rRNA". It matches the Rfam family "Bacterial small subunit ribosomal RNA", at positions 335 to 767 of the family's 1533-position model. The record is from RNAcentral.
ACUCCUACGGGAGGCAGCAGUAAGGAAUAUUGGUCAAUGGGGGCAACCCUGAACCAGCCAUGCCGCGUGCAGGAAGACGGCCCUCUGGGUUGUAAACUGCUUUUAUCCGGGAAUAAACCCCCUUACGUGUAAGGGGCUGAAUGUACCGGAAGAAUAAGGAUCGGCUAACUCCGUGCCAGCAGCCGCGGUAAUACGGAGGAUCCAAGCGUUAUCCGGAUUUAUUGGGUUUAAAGGGUGCGUAGGCGGCCUGUUAAGUCAGGGGUGAAAGACGGUGGCUCAACCAUCGCAGUGCCUUUGAUACUGACGGGCUUGAAUACACUUGAAGUAGGCGGAAUGUGACAAGUAGCGGUGAAAUGCAUAGAUAUGUCACAGAACACCGAUUGCGAAGGCAGCUUACUAAGGUGCAAUUGACGCUGAGGCACGAAAGCGUGGGGA